AAAUUGAAGAGUUUGAUCAUGGCUCAGAUUGAACGCUGGCGGCAGGCCUAACACAUGCAAGUCGAACGGUAACAGGAAGCAGCUUGCUGCUUCGCUGACGAGUGGCGGACGGGUGAGUAAUGUCUGGGAAACUGCCUGAUGGAGGGGGAUAACUACUGGAAACGGUGGCUAAUACCGCAUAACGUCGCAAGACCAAAGAGGGGGACCUUCGGGCCUCUUGCCAUCAGAUGUGCCCAGAUGGGAUUAGCUUGUUGGUGAGGUAACGGCUCACCAAGGCGACGAUCCCUAGCUGGUCUGAGAGGAUGACCAGCCACACUGGAACUGAGACACGGUCCAGACUCCUACGGGAGGCAGCAGUGGGGAAUAUUGCACAAUGGGCGCAAGCCUGAUGCAGCCAUGCCGCGUGUAUGAAGAAGGCCUUCGGGUUGUAAAGUACUUUCAGCGGGGAGGAAGGUGUUGUGGUUAAUAACCACAGCAAUUGACGUUACCCGCAGAAGAAGCACCGGCUAACUCCGUGCCAGCAGCCGCGGUAAUACGGAGGGUGCAAGCGUUAAUCGGAAUUACUGGGCGUAAAGCGCACGCAGGCGGUCUGUCAAGUCGGAUGUGAAAUCCCCGGGCUCAACCUGGGAACUGCAUUCGAAACUGGCAGGCUUGAGUCUUGUAGAGGGGGGUAGAAUUCCAGGUGUAGCGGUGAAAUGCGUAGAGAUCUGGAGGAAUACCGGUGGCGAAGGCGGCC
This 736-nucleotide ribosomal RNA is filed under the name Salmonella enterica. Its description in RNAcentral is "bacterial SSU rRNA". It matches the Rfam family "Bacterial small subunit ribosomal RNA", at positions 1 to 726 of the family's 1533-position model. Lineage: Bacteria; Pseudomonadati; Pseudomonadota; Gammaproteobacteria; Enterobacterales; Enterobacteriaceae. The record is from RNAcentral.